GAUCCUGGCUUAGGAUGAACGCUGGCGGCGUGCCUAACACAUGCAAGUCGAACGAAGCAUACGGACCGGAGAUCGUCGAAGGACCGUAUGACUUAGUGGCGGACGGGUGAGUAAUGUAUGAGCAACCUGCCUUUCAGAGGGGGACAACAGUUGGAAACGACUGCUAAUACCGCGUAACGUAUCGUGGGGGCAUCCUCGUGAUACCAAAGGAGCAAUCCGCUGAAAGAUGGGCUCAUAUCUGAUUAGCUUGUUGGCGGGGUAACGGCCCACCAAGGCGACGAUCAGUAGCCGGACUGAGAGGUUGAACGGCCACAUUGGGACUGAGAUACGGCCCAGACUCCUACGGGAGGCAGCAGUGGGGAAUAUUGGGCAAUGGGCGAAAGCCUCGACCCAGCAACGCCGCGUGAAGGAAGAAGGUCUUCGGAUUGUAAACUUCUUUUAUGAGGGACGAAGGACGUGACGGUACCUCAUGAAUAAGCCACGGCUAACUACGUGCCAGCAGCGGC
RNAcentral lists this ribosomal RNA (506 nucleotides) under uncultured bacterium. RNAcentral's name for it is "bacterial SSU rRNA". It matches the Rfam family "Bacterial small subunit ribosomal RNA", at positions 15 to 518 of the family's 1533-position model. The record is from RNAcentral.